ACGUCCGUUGCGUUCGCGUGAGUUUUUAAUUCCUUGAACCGAUGCUCUCGCGAGCCCGGGCUGGGAAAAUUGCCGAGUGGGUGUGAUCGUCUCGCGUCAGAUGAACCCGAAGCACGGUUGACCCGGCCCACCUGAAUCCCCUGGGUUCAGGAAUGCGGCUCACGGUUCGCAGCGGACACC
Molecule: non-coding RNA, 180 nt
Filed under: Burkholderiaceae bacterium
Lineage: Bacteria; Pseudomonadati; Pseudomonadota; Betaproteobacteria; Burkholderiales; Burkholderiaceae
Description: 6S RNA
Rfam family: 6S / SsrS RNA
About the family: E. coli 6S RNA was the first non coding RNA to be sequenced, but its function was unknown until recently. It consists of 184 nucleotides that fold into an extended hairpin structure with a large single-stranded internal bulge.
Source: RNAcentral